CCGUGUGUAGGCUAGUCAGGUUAGGUCGUCUGGUUUGGGGUCAGAAAGUCGAAGGUUCGAAUCCUUCCACACGGA
This 75-nucleotide transfer RNA is filed under the name Stenotrophomonas phage IME13. It matches the Rfam family "tRNA". From Rfam's summary of the family: Transfer RNA (tRNA) molecules are approximately 80 nucleotides in length. Their secondary structure includes four short double-helical elements and three loops (D, anti-codon, and T loops). Lineage: Duplodnaviria; Heunggongvirae; Uroviricota; Caudoviricetes; Pantevenvirales; Straboviridae. The record is from Rfam by way of RNAcentral.